RNAcentral lists this ribosomal RNA (253 nucleotides) under uncultured bacterium. RNAcentral describes it as "partial 16S ribosomal RNA". It matches the Rfam family "Bacterial small subunit ribosomal RNA", at positions 524 to 776 of the family's 1533-position model. The record is from RNAcentral.
UACGUAGGGUGCGAGCGUUAAUCGGAAUUACUGGGCGUAAAGCGUGCGCAGGCGGUUUUGUAAGCUUGAGGUGAAAUCCCCGGGCUCAACCUGGGGAUUGCCUUCAGGACUGCGAGGCUAGAGUGCGGCAGAGGGAGGUGGAAUUCCACGUGUAGCAGUGAAAUGCGUAGAUAUGUGGAGGAACACCGAUGGCGAAGGCAGCCUCCUGGGCCAGCACUGACGCUCAUGCACGAAAGCGUGGGGAGCAAACAGG